UGGGGAAUUUUGGACAAUGGGCGAAAGCCUGAUCCAGCAAUGCCGCGUGUGUGAAGAAGGCCUUCGGGUUGUAAAGCACUUUUGUCCGGAAAGAAAUCCUUGGCUCUAAUACAGUCGGGGGAUGACGGUACCGGAAGAAUAAGCACCGGCUAACUACGUGCCAGCAGCCGCGGUAAUACGUAGGGUGCAAGCGUUAAUCGGAAUUACUGGGCGUAAAGCGUGCGCAGGCGGUUUGCUAAGACCGAUGUGAAAUCCCCGGGCUCAACCUGGGAACUGCAUUGGUGACUGGCAGGCUAGAGUAUGGCAGAGGGGGGUAGAAUUCCACGUGUAGCAGUGAAAUGCGUAGAGAUGUGGAGGAAUACCGAUGGCGAAGGCAGCCCCCUGGGCCAAUACUGACGCUCAUGCACGAAAGCGUGGGGGAGCAAACAGGAUUAGACU
RNAcentral lists this ribosomal RNA (438 nucleotides) under uncultured bacterium. RNAcentral's name for it is "partial 16S ribosomal RNA". It matches the Rfam family "Bacterial small subunit ribosomal RNA", at positions 355 to 784 of the family's 1533-position model. The record is from RNAcentral.